This is a non-coding RNA of Parelaphostrongylus tenuis, 72 nucleotides long. The record is from the annotation of a GenBank genome assembly. Lineage: Eukaryota; Metazoa; Nematoda; Chromadorea; Rhabditida; Metastrongylidae.
GCGUCAGUGGUGCAACGGUUAACAUGCGCUCCAGGAAAGAGUGGGGUCCGGGUUUGAAUCCCGUCCGGCGCA